Molecule: microRNA precursor, 92 nt
Filed under: Dasypus novemcinctus (nine-banded armadillo)
Lineage: Eukaryota; Metazoa; Chordata; Mammalia; Cingulata; Dasypodidae
Description: miRNA (ENSDNOG00000045632.1)
Source: RNAcentral
UUGUAUGCAUAUGUGCAUGUGUAUGUGUGUGUGUGUGUGUGUAUAUAUAUAUACACACACACACACACACCCCAUUAUUUAUUCAUCCAUAC